AGGAAAUGUAUGCACAAGGAAUUGUGAACUUGUUCCCCAACCUCAAAGACCCAUUUUUCAAGAAUGGCUAUGAACAUUUUUAUGAUAGCAACAGUGGUACUGGGUACUUGUCCUGGAGAAUUAAAACUAUUCAGAGAUGCAGUGCUAAAGAAAGGCGAUCAUCAUUUGGAGCUUUGGCGGAAGGACCAUCUGAUGAAGACAAGUCGGGAGGACCAACUGUUGGACGAGUUACCCAAUUCAUUCCAGAGAUUGUCCUGUCUGAAGAUGAGUGCAAGGAAGCGAUGUCACUGAUGAAACAUUCGGCUGACGUGGACAUGGUCAUCAAAGAGAUGAAGCUGACAUUUGCUCAUCGGCAUAACAUGGUCCUGGACCCACAGCAGUCAAGCAACAUUCUAUCUUAUUUUCCUCGUUUUAAAGACAUCAAAGGCUUGGUUGAACAGGAUUUUGUUCUAUUGUUUGGAGAGGAUGUAUCGGGCAAGUUUCUGGAGAAGUAGCCAAUCACAUUCAAAAAGAAGAUCAUCCAACAAUGCAGAAAGCUUCCCUCCAUCACUGAGCUUGAGAAACUCCUGAUGGCAGCUGACCCUCCUGAGGAUGGGGCUGAAGUGAACGUUGACUUUGGUUGGAACAGUGACCUCUCAUCGAUUUUGCUGCUCUUACACUUGAUCCCACCGACUGUUCUAGGUCGGAAGAGGCCAGGAAAAGUUUCUGCAUCCCGGGAUGAGAAGCAUCUUGUGGUCUUCAAGAAGACUGGAACAAGCAUCCAAGAACAUCUUGACACCAUUACUACCAGCACUCAACCCUAUCUCCUGGCUGUUGGAGUUCAUAAUUCUCGACAAGAAUGCCAUACCUUGCAGGUCACACUCCUCUCUUGGUGCUUUUGAUGAACUGUUUAAAGCACACUUUGUGUUUGCAACAUCAUACCACACCAUGCUCCACAACAUGUACACGAUCAUCCAGACUACUUUGUACAACAUUGAUGUUGGGAAGGUCAAAGAGAGUCCUUGUGUUGCUGAAAUUAGGACAAGGUUGCUUCUGUAGUGUUUGACUUUUGUCUUCCACCAUUAAGUGUUUUGUUUGUCAGGCUGAGUUCCCGAGUUCAAACAUGCUUGUUCGACAUUUACGUUUAGUUCACGGUUACCUGCCUGGAAAAAAUAUUAACCUUAAAUGCGUUCAAACUGGAUGUGGUGGUGUGUUUGGUACUUUCUCUGGUUUUAGGAAGCAUUUGAAAACAAAACACUCAGUGUACUGAACUACAGAUUGGCACCUAUGUUCACUUAAACAGGACAGAAGAGACAGUGUCAGUUAAUGUAGAUGAGUCAGCCACAACAUCUGAACAGUCGAGACAGGCUAAUAGGAGCAGUCUUGAUAUGUGUACCACUGCUGUUGCACAAUUUAAGGUAGCUGGAUUAAGUCAGUCUACUAUGAAUGGUUUUGUCUCAUCCAUGGAGGAAGUGUACAGAGUACCGCUGUGACUUUCAUUGUCUGUUCAGAUGUGGCAUUUGACAUGCCUGUGUUUUGUAAGAUAAAAAAUAUUAUUGUCAAAGCUGAUGAUGUAUUGCUCUGUGGGAAACUGAUGGAAACUGUGUUUUGAGGAGCAUUACCAUGCCUAUAAGGUCAGGUUGCAUCCAGACAAAGUUGUUAAGGUUUUGGACAUAAAGAAACUGCCUUACUCCAAACCAAUUGAUGUUCAAAUGGCAUAUGGAACAUCAUGUUCCACAUUGUAUGUUGUCCCAUAUUGCCAUUUCAUGCAGACCUAAGGUCACCCUUUCUGUAUUCUCUCCCUAAAGUUGAUUGUUCUGCCUGACAAAGAA
This is a non-coding RNA of Nerophis lumbriciformis (worm pipefish), 1811 nucleotides long. NCBI's taxonomy places the organism in Eukaryota, Metazoa, Chordata, Actinopteri, Syngnathiformes, Syngnathidae. The record is from RefSeq and is a predicted model, not a curated record.